UCUGGGUGGAUAGAACCUGGAUCACCAAUUGGAUGUCGAGGCGUUGCUAUAAUACUGACCUUCUACGCACUCCCACAAGCCUCUGCGGCCGCUGUUAUUUGCUAUUCUUUGCUAGCACGAGUGUUCCACUCGCCUCUUUGCUGAUAUUCGCCAGCAAUUUGAUAACCUGCCACACUUGAAGGAUAAGAUAUGGAGAGCAGCGGCGAUGCUCCUCGGCUCAGAUCUGAGUGGCGGUGAUUUUCUUAAAAGGACGGGAAAGAGGGAAAAAACAGAUGGAGAACAAGGGAGAUAGGGUGGGGAAGACAAAAGAUGGAAAAAGAGAGAGGGAGAGGAAGAAACACAAGCGGCUUUGGGUUUGGGGCAGAAAGGCAGUGAGGACGGAAAAGAGGAACAGGGGAAGGAGGGCGGAAGAAAGGAUGAGAGAGAGAAAAAAAGAGUGUAGGGUUAAUUACCUGUAUUUUUCGGCGGCCGCCGGUGGUGGUGCGAGCACUGGCGGGUAGGUGGAUGGUGACCGUUAGUGGAAGAGCGAAGAGAGAGAAGAGAGC
RNAcentral lists this long non-coding RNA (545 nucleotides) under Nicotiana tabacum (common tobacco). RNAcentral describes it as "long non-coding RNA (NTAB_LNC006809)". Lineage: Eukaryota; Viridiplantae; Streptophyta; Magnoliopsida; Solanales; Solanaceae. The record is from RNAcentral.